UACGUAGGGUGCAAGCGUUGUCCGGAAUUAUUGGGCGUAAAGAGCUCGUAGGCGGUCUGUCGCGUCGGAUGUGAAAACCCAGGGCUCAACCCUGGGCCUGCAUUCGAUACGGGCAGACUAGAGUUCGGUAGGGGAGACUGGAAUUCCUGGUGUAGCGGUGAGAUGCGCAGAUAUCAGGAGGAACACCGGUGGCGAAGGCGGGUCUCUGGGCCGAAACUGACGCUGAGGAGCGAAAGCGUGGGGAGCAAACAGG
RNAcentral lists this ribosomal RNA (253 nucleotides) under uncultured bacterium. RNAcentral's name for it is "partial 16S ribosomal RNA". It matches the Rfam family "Bacterial small subunit ribosomal RNA", at positions 524 to 776 of the family's 1533-position model. The record is from RNAcentral.